CUGGCUUCUGCCACUGGUUCCCUCCAUGGUACCACACAAGGGAAGAUGGAAGUGGGUCUGGGCACCGGGAGUGUGCCCACCGGAGACUCCAAGAGAAACGUACGAGUCGUCCCAGGACCGGGGUGGUGAGCGAGGCCCCAUUUUGUCCUCCCAGGGCCUAGUCUCAGACAGACUGGGGUGAGGGAGGUGGGGACAGGCGGCGAGCCAGCGGGCAGACUCAGGCCUGGAGCUCGUCCUGUUCCCCUGGCCACACACCAAGGUGUUGCUGCCUCCUGCUCCCUGGUGGCCAUGCCUGCUGUCCCUCCUCACUGGCCUUCCAGGCAUGGGCGCUGGCUGGGGAGGGAUGGAAGCGUGCCCUGCCGGGGGUGCCCCUCGGACUCGGUCUUGCCAUUCGUGUCCGGGCCUGUGUGGUGGUCUCUGGCCUCGCACGGCCCGUGUGUGUCUGGGGAGGGGUGAAGCACGCCGCCGGCCCCCUCUCCCCGUGGGGCCGAGACCUCCUGGUGGUCGCCUGCCUGACGGUGUCCCGCCCGCGUCCCAGCUGCAAGCUCGGGUGCCAGGGCAACGGGCCCGCCUGGCCGACUACUGCGCCGGGGCCAUGUUCGUGCAGCAGCUGCUGAGUCGCGGCUACGGCUUCGACGAGCGCGCCUUCGGCGGCGUGAUCUUCCAGAAGAAGGCCGCGGACACUGCAGUGGGCUGGGCGCUCGGCUACAUGCUGAACCUGACCAACCUGAUCCCCGCCGACCCGCCGGGGCUGCGCAAGGGCACAGACUUCAGCUCCUGGGUCGUCCUCCUGCUGCUCUUCGCCUCCGCGCUCCUGGCUGCGCUUGUCCUGCUGCUGCGUCAGGUGCACUCCGCCAAGCUGCCAAGCACCAUUUAGGGGCCGACGGGGGCAGCUGCCCCAUCCCUCCCCCAACCCCUGUAUCCCCACCCCGUACUCCCACCCCUCCCACAACCCCUGUACCUCCCACCCCUGUAUCCCCACCCCUCCACCCACCCCUCUCCCAACCUCUCUCCCCGCCCCUGUAUCCUGCAUUCCUCCACCCACCCUCUAUCCCCCACCGCUCCACCCCACCACUGUCUUCUCCAUCCUUCCACCCCACCCUCAGCGUCUCUGCCCCUAAGGCAGCCCAGGAAAUAGGAACUGAGACUCUGGUACCCACAGGAGCCUGGGUGGGCAAAGAGCGCUCAAUCCAGCUCCUUGAACCCCUCCAGCCCGCUUCAGCCUGGGCAUCACUGCAGGCCCCGUGCUCCUCCUCCUCCUCCUCAGGGCUGGGUCUCCAGAGAGUGGGGCCUUGGUCCUGAGAAUCAGCCCUUAGAGGCUCCUUCUGUGUAGUCUGGGUCUGUACUGGGGAGGGUCACAGCCCACGGGCUGGCAGCCAGCCCAGCACCUACUUGUAAAAAUUUUGUAAUAAAAAGUUUUUCCUAGA
This 1427-nucleotide long non-coding RNA is filed under the name Homo sapiens (human). RNAcentral's name for it is "non-protein coding lnc-NPDC1-3:1". Lineage: Eukaryota; Metazoa; Chordata; Mammalia; Primates; Hominidae. The record is from RNAcentral.